RNAcentral lists this ribosomal RNA (1148 nucleotides) under uncultured organism. RNAcentral's name for it is "bacterial SSU rRNA". It matches the Rfam family "Bacterial small subunit ribosomal RNA", at positions 287 to 1465 of the family's 1533-position model. The record is from RNAcentral.
GGGGCGUGAGAGCGCGAACCCCCACAAUGGAACUGAGACACGGUCCAUACUCCUACGGGAGGCAGCAGUGAGGAAUAUUGCGCAAUGGGGGAAACCCUGACGCAGCAACGCCGCGUGAACGAUGAAGGCCUUCGGGUCGUACAGUUCUUUUCUAAGGGAAGAUAGUGACGGUACCUUAGGAAUAAGUCCCGGCUAACUACGUGCCAGCAGCCGCGGUAAAACGUAGGGGGCGAGCGUUAUCCGGAUUUAUUGGGCGUAUAGCGCACGUAGGUGGCGCUGUAAGUUAGACGUGAAAGCUCUCGGCUCAACUGAGAGAGGUCGUUUAAAACUGCAGUGCUUGAGGUUAGAAGAGGAGAGCAGAAUUCCCGGUGUAGUGGUGGAAUGCGUAGAUAUCGGGAGGAAUACCAGUGGCGAAGGCGGCUCUCUAGUCUACACCUGACACUGAGGUGCGAAAGCGUGGGUAGCGAACGGGAUUAGAUACCCCGGUAGUCCACGCUGUAAACGAUGGAUACUAGGUGUAGGGGGUCAUUUAACCCCUCUGUGCCGAAGCAAACGCGUUAAGUAUCCCGCCUGGGGACUACGGCCGCAAGGUUAAAACUCAAAGGAAUUGACGGGGGCCCGCACAAGCAGCGGAGCGUGUGGUUUAAUUCGAUGAUACGCGAAGAACCUUACCUGGGCUGAACUACGUGGUAGUAGUGAAGCGAAAGCGGAUCGACCCUUCGGGGAGCCUCGAUAGGUGCUGCAUGGCUGUCGUCAGCUCGUGUCGUGAGAUGUUGGGUUAAGUCCCGCAACGAGCGCAACCCUCGUCGCUAGUUACAAGUGUCUAGCGAGACUGCCGGUAUCAAACCGGAGGAAGGUGGGGAUGACGUCAAGUCAGCAUGGUCUUUAUGUCCAGGGCUACACACACGCUACAAUGGUCGGUACAAUAGGUUGCCACACCGCGAGGUGGAGCUAAUCCUCAAAGCCGAUCUCAGUUCGGAUUGUAGUCUGCAACUCGACUACAUGAAGGCGGAGUUGCUAGUAACCGCGCGUCAGCAUAGUGCGGUGAAUGCGUUCCCGGGCCUUGUACACACCGCCCGUCACAUCAUGGGAGUCGGUAACACCUGAAGUCGGUGACCUAACCGAAAGGGGGGAGCUGCCUAAGGUGG